UACAGAGGUGGCAAGCGUUGUUCGGAAUUACUGGGCGUAAAGGGCGGGUAGGCGGUCCGGUAAGUCCCGUGUGAAAUCCCUCGGCUCAACUGAGGAACUGCACGGGAAACUGCCGGGCUUGAGUUCGGGAGAGGGAAGCGGAAUUCCGGGUGUAGCGGUGAAAUGCGUAGAUAUCCGGAGGAACACCGGUGGCGAAGGCGGCUUCCUGGACCGACACUGACGCUGAGGCGCGCAAGCUAGGGGAGAAAACGGG
RNAcentral lists this ribosomal RNA (253 nucleotides) under uncultured Acidobacteriota bacterium. Its description in RNAcentral is "uncultured Acidobacteria bacterium partial 16S ribosomal RNA". It matches the Rfam family "Bacterial small subunit ribosomal RNA", at positions 524 to 776 of the family's 1533-position model. Lineage: Bacteria; Pseudomonadati; Acidobacteriota. The record is from RNAcentral.